AUUGAACGCUGGCGGCAGGCUUAACACAUGCAAGUCGAGCGGGGUGAGGUGCUUCGGUACUGAUCCUAGCGGCGGACGGGUGAGUAAUGCUUAGGAAUCUGCCAUUUAGUGGGGGACAACAUUCCGAAAGGAAUGCUAAUACCGCAUACGUCCUACGGGAGAAAGCAGGGGAUCUUCGGACCUUGCGCUAAAUGAUGAGCCUAAGUCGGAUUAGCUAGUUGGUGGGGUAAAGGCCUACCAAGGCGACGAUCUGUAGCGGGUCUGAGAGGAUGAUCCGCCACACUGGGACUGGUACACGGCCCAGACUCCUACGGGAGGCAGCAGUGGGGAAUAUUGGACAAUGGGCGGAAGCCUGAUCCAGCCAUGCCGCGUGUGUGAAGAAGGCCUUUUGGUUGUAAAGCACUUUAAGCGAGGAGGAGGCUACCUGGAUUAAUACUCUGGGAUAGUGGACGUUACUCGCAGAAUAAGCACCGGCUAACUCUGUGCCAGCAGCCGCGGUAA
RNAcentral lists this ribosomal RNA (501 nucleotides) under uncultured bacterium. RNAcentral's name for it is "partial 16S ribosomal RNA". It matches the Rfam family "Bacterial small subunit ribosomal RNA", at positions 30 to 523 of the family's 1533-position model. The record is from RNAcentral.